This 400-nucleotide ribosomal RNA is filed under the name Anomaloglossus baeobatrachus. RNAcentral describes it as "LSU rRNA". It matches the Rfam family "Bacterial large subunit ribosomal RNA", at positions 1819 to 2422 of the family's 2925-position model. Lineage: Eukaryota; Metazoa; Chordata; Amphibia; Anura; Aromobatidae. The record is from RNAcentral.
CCUCUUGAUUAAACCAUAAGAGGUCCAGCCUGCCCAGUGACAUUGUUCAACGGCCGCGGUAUCCUAACCGUGCGAAGGUAGCGUAAUCACUUGUCCUUUAAAUGAAGACUAGUAUGAAUGGCCCCACGAAAGCUAUACUGUCUCCUUUUUCUAAUCAGUUAAACUAAUCUCCCCGUGAAGAAGCGGGGAUAAACAUAUAAGACGAGAAGACCCUAUGGAGCUUUAAACAACUGAAACAUUUGUAUACCUCCCUUCACCUACCCACAUUUAACUCCACAUCUUGUUUCUAGUUUUAGGUUGGGGUGACCACGGAGAAAAAACUAACCUCCACGAUGAAAGAGACAUCUCUAAACAAAAAGCUACAUCUUUAUGUAUUAAUACAUUAACCUUUAUUGACCCA